Varanus komodoensis (Komodo dragon) is the source of this 1104-nucleotide long non-coding RNA. RefSeq lists it as uncharacterized. NCBI's taxonomy places the organism in Eukaryota, Metazoa, Chordata, Lepidosauria, Squamata, Varanidae. The transcript is spliced from 3 exons. The record is from RefSeq and is a predicted model, not a curated record.
UCCAGGGCAGGAUGUUAGCCCCAAACUGAUAUAACUGGAAGGACUGCAGGGCUGAGAGCAUGCACUCAUCUAGUGACUCAUGGCAAGACUCUGAAAAGAGGAUGAAACAGUCCCCAGCUGCAUAAGAAGGAACUGCAGAUACACCACAACCUCCACUUCGACAGAGAGAGAUGGGAACUACCCCAUACACAUAGGCCAACAUGAUAGGCACACCUAUUCCUGCAGAGAAAAUAAAGGAUACUAGAAUCACUGCAAUCUGAGCAUUGACCUUUGGUAUCAUGUUGCCCCAUUUUCCUUGCUGAGAGUCAUGAAGCCACAGUGGUUAGAAUGCUGAACUAGGACCUGACAGAUACAUGUUGUAGUCCCCACUCAGCCAUGAAGCUCACUGCUUGACUGUAUCUCAACCUAACCCACCUCACAGAGGGAGGAUGAAAUGGAAAGGAGGAAGGCCAUCCAACCCACCUUGUCUUCCUUGGAGGAAGCAAGGCAAGAUUUGUUCUUCUUCUUCUGCUCCCCAGGGAGAGUCAGAAGAGCUAUUCAGGACUGGACAUCUUAUUCAAUCAUUAAUCUGGCUUUCGAAAAUUCACAGCAAGCUGCCUACAGACUUUGAAGCACAUCUUCACAAUGCUUUUGAAAAAGAAAGAUAAUGAGAUCCUUACGAAGCUGCAUUCUCUGGUUGGUACCAUGCUCUGAGAUUUUUCUGCACUUUUGUAGAACUGCAGCAUAUGCAACCCUCUGCAGCAACCACAAAGGCAUGUUCUUCUAAUGGGGAAAGCAAUCAUCAUACCUACCUGCCUCUCCUUUGCAGAGUGGAGCAUCAUACCAUGCUUGCAUUAGAGAACAAUGCAACUAUAUUCAUAUAUGCAAUUAUAUUCAUUCUCAAUAUACAGAAAUUAACCUUACCCUAUGUAUCCUCUCCUGCUAAUUAUACUAACUCAGUAUCCUCUCAGUAGGAAAGUCAACAAUAAAUUAUUAGGGAAAUAAGCCACACAAGUAGAAAGGGGAUAUAAUUAUUGUUUCCUACUAGAAUGAGACUGCAAGAUGCUAAACUUGUUUAAAAAAGAAGCGUUUGCACCUUCACAACUCCACAUUAGAUUUUAUAGA